Myotis lucifugus (little brown bat) is the source of this 577-nucleotide long non-coding RNA. RefSeq lists it as uncharacterized. The record is from RefSeq and is a predicted model, not a curated record. NCBI's taxonomy places the organism in Eukaryota, Metazoa, Chordata, Mammalia, Chiroptera, Vespertilionidae. The transcript has 3 exons.
UGGAGGGGGAGGUGGCGGUUCCCCUGAGGAGGGUGUUUGUCUUUAAAGCUGACGCUCCCCGUCCCGCUUCCCGCAGGGAAGGCUGAGGGCGCUGCCGGCGCUGAAGUCCUUGUUGGGGUCCCCGCCCCGGAGCCUCUCUCAGCGGGACAGGAGGGGUGUCCUUUUCCUCAUUUCCAGGUCCUUCUAACUGUGAGUGUGAGUUGAGCUGAUUAAAAGACUGUGACUCCUCAACAUUGUGUCACUGAGGAAACAACCCAGAACGUGAUCAGGACCAGGACCCAAUGGCUUCUUCUCAGAAGUUUGGCACAUCACCCGGAAAUAUUGGCAUCACAAGUAAAAAGUGAGCUUGUGACACAUAUGGAAACACAGGCCCCAUCUCAGAACCCGGAUCAGCAUCUGUAUUUUUACAGAAGUUCAUUUCGUUGUGUUCGGCUUCACACUUGAGAAGAAGUCCAUAUACUUCCAACCAGCAUGACCUUUCCCACUGAGAAAUAUACAUCACUGACCCUGAAUGAUGCAAAUACAGCCUUCAGAAAUCCAUAUGCCCCUGUGCAUUUCUGAAUUUUUAAGGUUAUUU